This 460-nucleotide ribosomal RNA is filed under the name uncultured bacterium. RNAcentral's name for it is "bacterial SSU rRNA". It matches the Rfam family "Bacterial small subunit ribosomal RNA", at positions 338 to 795 of the family's 1533-position model. The record is from RNAcentral.
CCUACGGGAGGCAGCAGUAGGGAAUAUUGGUCAAUGGACGCAAGUCUGAACCAGCCAUGCCGCGUGAAGGAUGAAGGCCCUCUGGGUCGUAAACUUCUUUUAUUAGGGAAGAAACCUCAAGAUGCGUCUUGAGCUGACGGUACUUAAUGAAUAAGGAUCGGCUAACUUCGUGCCAGCAGCCGCGGUAAGACGAAGGAUCCAAGCGUUGUCCGGAUUUACUGGGUUUAAAGGGUGCGUAGGCGGAAAAUUAAGUCAGUGGUGAAAGCCCGCAGCUCAACUGUGGAACUGCCAUUGAAACUGGUUUUCUUGAAUAUAGCUGAGGCAGAUGGAAUAUAACAUGUAGCGGUGAAAUGCUUAGAUAUGUUAUAGAACACCGAUUGCGAAGGCAGUCUGCUAAACUAUUAUUGACGCUGAGGCACGAAAGCGUGGGGAGCGAACAGGAUUAGAUACCCUAGUAGUC